AGAGUUUGAUCCUGGCUCAGAUUGAACGCUGGCGGCAGGCCUAACACAUGCAAGUCGAGCGGUAGAGAGAAGCUUGCUUCUCUCGAGAGCGGCGGACGGGUGAGUAAUGCCUAGGAAUCUGCCUGGUAGUGGGGGAUAACGUUCGGAAACGGACGCUAAUACCGCAUACGUCCUACGGGAGAAAGCAGGGGACCUUCGGGCCUUGCGCUAUCAGAUGAGCCUAGGUCGGAUUAGCUAGUUGGUGGGGUAAUGGCUCACCAAGGCGACGAUCCGUAACUGGUCUGAGAGGAUGAUCAGUCACACUGGAACUGAGACACGGUCCAGACUCCUACGGGAGGCAGCAGUGGGGAAUAUUGGACAAUGGGCGAAAGCCUGAUCCAGCCAUGCCGCGUGUGUGAAGAAGGUCUUCGGAUUGUAAAGCACUUUAAGUUGGGAGGAAGGGUUGUAGAUUAAUACUCUGCAAUUCUGACGUUACCGACAGAAUAAGCACCGGCUAACUCUGUGCCAGCAGCCGCGGUAAUACAGAGGGUGCAAGCGUUAAUCGGAAUUACUGGGCGUAAAGCGCGCGUAGGUGGUUAGUUAAGUUGGAUGUGAAAUCCCCGGGCUCAACCUGGGAACUGCAUUCAAAACUGACUAACUAGAGUAUGGUAGAGGGUGGUGGAAUUUCCUGUGUAGCGGUGAAAUGCGUAGAUAUAGGAAGGAACACCAGUGGCGAAGGCGACCACCUGGACUGAUACUGACACUGAGGUGCGAAAGCGUGGGGAGCAAACAGGAUUAGAUACCCUGGUAGUCC
RNAcentral lists this ribosomal RNA (793 nucleotides) under uncultured bacterium. Its description in RNAcentral is "bacterial SSU rRNA". It matches the Rfam family "Bacterial small subunit ribosomal RNA", at positions 8 to 796 of the family's 1533-position model. The record is from RNAcentral.